Molecule: non-coding RNA, 224 nt
Organism: Pelobates cultripes (western spadefoot toad)
Lineage: Eukaryota; Metazoa; Chordata; Amphibia; Anura; Pelobatidae
Source: the annotation of a GenBank genome assembly
CACGCACUAACUACACACCCAUCACCGCUUCUCCCUCUCACCCAUAACGUGGAUUUCCCUCCGGGCUUGGAACCGGGGGAUGCUGGGGACACAGGGCAGGGACCCGUUACCACGGCUGAGACACGUAUGCACCAAGCAGGGACUAAGGGAUUGGGCGGACAUAAGCAAAGACACGGAUCAAUCUUUCCACACACGAUUUAAAUAUGAACAAUUGCGUAGUUUUG